This 269-nucleotide ribosomal RNA is filed under the name Kaloula cf. rigida AMA-2016. RNAcentral describes it as "partial 12S ribosomal RNA". It matches the Rfam family "Microsporidia small subunit ribosomal RNA", at positions 1014 to 1311 of the family's 1311-position model. The record is from RNAcentral. Lineage: Eukaryota; Metazoa; Chordata; Amphibia; Anura; Microhylidae.
AGGUCAAGGUGCAGCCCACGAAGUGGCAAGCAAUGGGCUACAGUUUCUAACUUAGAACAAACGAAAGACUACAUGAAAUAUAGUCAUGAAGGCGGAUUUAGUAGUAAAAAGAAAAUAGAGUGUUCUUUUUAAUCAGGCGCNNNNNNNNGUACACACCGCCCGUCACCCUCUUCAAACGCAACCAUCACGUUAAUAACACCCAAUUGCACUACAGAAGAGGUAAGUCGUAACACGGUAAGCGUACUGGAAAGUGCGCUUGGAUAAACAAA